This 427-nucleotide ribosomal RNA is filed under the name uncultured bacterium. Its description in RNAcentral is "partial 16S ribosomal RNA". It matches the Rfam family "Bacterial small subunit ribosomal RNA", at positions 355 to 774 of the family's 1533-position model. The record is from RNAcentral.
UGGGGAAUAUUGGACAAUGGGCGAAAGCCUGAUCCAGCCAUGCCGCGUGUGUGAAGAAGGUCUUCGGAUUGUAAAGCACUUUAAGUUGGGAGGAAGGGCAGUAAGCUAAUACCUUGCUGUUUUGACGUUACCGACAGAAUAAGCACCGGCUAACUCUGUGCCAGCAGCCGCGGUAAUACAGAGGGUGCAAGCGUUAAUCGGAAUUACUGGGCGUAAAGCGCGCGUAGGUGGUUUGUUAAGUUGGAUGUGAAAGCCCCGGGCUCAACCUGGGAACUGCAUCCAAAACUGGCAGGCUAGAGUACGGUAGAGGGUGGUGGAAUUUCCUGUGUAGCGGUGAAAUGCGUAGAUAUAGGAAGGAACACCAGUGGCGAAGGCGACCACCUGGACUGAUACUGACACUGAGGUGCGAAAGCGUGGGGGGCAAACA